AGCCUGUCCUAUAAUUGAUGAUCCACGAUUAAUUUUGUUAAUUUAGUAGUUUGUAUAUCGUCGUAGUUGAAUGUCUUAUAAGAGUUUAAAAUGUUCAUUAUUUAUAAUUUAUAAAAUAAAUCAGAUCAAGAUAUAGCUUAUAAUUAAGAAGAGAUGGGUUACAAUAAAUUUUAUUUGUGGUUAAAAUAUUUAAAAUAAUUUUAUAAAUUGGAUUUGAAAGUAAUAUAUUUUAGUUAAAAUAUAUGAUUUAAGCUCUAAAAUAUGUACAUAUCGCCCGUCGCCUUCGUUAAAAAUUUAAAAUGAAAUAAGUCGUAACAUAGUAGGUGUACCGGAAGGUGUUUCUAGUUUGUUCAAAUUAUAGCUUAUUUAAAGUAUCUUAUUUACAUUAAGAAGAUAAAUUGGUUAUUCAGUUUAAUUUGAAUUGAAAAAUUUAUUUAAUUUUUAUUAUUAAUUAGGUUUUGGGUAAAAAAAAUAUUUUUAAGUUUUUUUAUUUAUUUAGAUAAAAUUAUUAAAAUUAUAGUGAAUUAGUAUAGUGAUAGAAUUAUGAAAUAUUAUGAAAAUAUUAAGUAUAUUAAAGAAAAAUUAAAUUUUUGUACCUUGUGUAUCAGGGUUAUUAAUAUAGAUUAUAAAUUUAAUUAAUUUCUCGAAUUUAAAAGAGUUAAUAAAUUAUAAAUUUUAUUGUAAAAUAAAUAUUUAAAAUAAUUUAUUAGUAAUGAAACGUUAUUCGUUUUUGAAUUUAUCUAGUUUUUUAAGAAAUAAAUUUAAUUUAGUUUAGUUAUUUUAAUUGAUAUAAUUUUUAUAUUUAAAUUAUAUAAUUAAUUAAUAUUUUAAGGGAUAAGCUUUAAAAUAAAAAAUUUAUAAAUAAAUUUUAUUUUUAUAAAAUUGUAGGAUUGGAAGUGUCUUUUAUUAAAUAGUGUGUUAUAACAAAUUUUUAUAUUAAAAAUAAUUUUUAUAUAAUUUUAAAUUUUUUAUUAAAAUUAUUUAUUUAAUAAGGUAUUAAAUGUAAUAAUGAUAAAAUUAGUAUAAUUUAAUAAUGUAUUAUUAUUUUAAAUAUAAAGGUUAAAUUAAGGAAUUCGGCAAUUAAUUUUUUCGCCUGUUUAUUAAAAACAUGUCUUUUUGAUGAUAAUUUAAAGUCUAACCUGCUCUAUGAAUUAUAUUUUUAAAUGGCCGCGGUAUUUUGACCGUGCAAAGGUAGCAUAAUAAUUAGUUUUUUAAUUGGGAACUGGUAUGAAUGGUUGGACGAGAAAAAUACUGUCUCAAUUUAAUUUAAAUUAGAAUUUUAUAUUUAAGUUAAAAAGCUUAGAUAUAUUUAAAAGACGAGAAGACCCUAUAGAGUUUUAUAUUAUAAAUUAUUUUUGAAUAUUAAAGUAUUUAAAAUUUAACUAUAAUUUUAUAGUAUUUAAGUGAUGCCAUAGAAGACAU
This 1422-nucleotide ribosomal RNA is filed under the name Aptenocanthon hopsoni. RNAcentral's name for it is "partial large subunit ribosomal RNA". The record is from RNAcentral. Lineage: Eukaryota; Metazoa; Arthropoda; Insecta; Coleoptera; Scarabaeidae.